Molecule: transfer RNA, 66 nt
Filed under: Gekko vittatus (white-lined gecko)
Lineage: Eukaryota; Metazoa; Chordata; Lepidosauria; Squamata; Gekkonidae
Description: tRNA-Gly
Source: RNAcentral
AUUCUUUUAGUAUAACGUACAAAUGCCUUCCACGCAUAAAGUCUUAGCAAGGCCUAAGAAAGAAUA